This 500-nucleotide ribosomal RNA is filed under the name uncultured bacterium. RNAcentral's name for it is "partial 16S ribosomal RNA". It matches the Rfam family "Bacterial small subunit ribosomal RNA", at positions 30 to 523 of the family's 1533-position model. The record is from RNAcentral.
AUUGAACGCUGGCGGCAUGCCUUACACAUGCAAGUCGAACGGCAGCACGGGAGCAAUCCUGGUGGCGAGUGGCGAACGGGUGAGUAAGGUAUCGGAACGUGCCCAGUCGUGGGGGAUAACGUAGCGAAAGUUACGCUAAUACCGCAUACGAUCUAUGGAUGAAAGCGGGGGAUCGCAAGACCUCGCGCGAUUGGAGCGGCCGAUAUCAGAUUAGGUAGUUGGGGGGGUAAAGGCUCACCAAGCCGACGAUCUGUAGCUGGUCUGAGAGGACGACCAGCCACACUGGGACUGGGACACGGCCCAGACUCCUACGGGAGGCAGCAGUGGGGAAUUUUGGACAAUGGGCGAAAGCCUGAUCCAGCCAUGCCGCGUGCAGGAUGAAGGCCUUCGGGUUGUAAACUGCUUUUGUACGGAACGAAAAGGUUUGGCCUAAUAAGCUGAGCUCAUGACGGUACCGUAAGAAUAAGCACCGGCUAACUACGUGCCAGCAGCCGCCGUAA